UCCCUGCUAGCUCAGUUGGUAGAGAAUCCGCCUGCAACGCGGGAGACCUGGGUUCAAUGCCUGGGUCGGGGA
This 72-nucleotide transfer RNA is filed under the name Ovis aries (sheep). It matches the Rfam family "tRNA". From Rfam's summary of the family: Transfer RNA (tRNA) molecules are approximately 80 nucleotides in length. Their secondary structure includes four short double-helical elements and three loops (D, anti-codon, and T loops). Further hydrogen bonds mediate the characteristic L-shaped molecular structure. tRNAs have two regions of fundamental functional importance: the anti-codon, which is responsible for specific mRNA codon recognition, and the 3' end, to which the tRNAs corresponding amino acid is attached (by aminoacyl-tRNA synthetases). tRNAs cope with the degeneracy of the genetic code in two manners: having more than one tRNA (with a specific anti-codon) for a particular amino acid; and 'wobble' base-pairing, i.e. permitting non-standard base-pairing at the 3rd anti-codon position. The record is from Rfam by way of RNAcentral. Lineage: Eukaryota; Metazoa; Chordata; Mammalia; Artiodactyla; Bovidae.